This 412-nucleotide ribosomal RNA is filed under the name Pseudarthrobacter oxydans. RNAcentral's name for it is "bacterial SSU rRNA". It matches the Rfam family "Bacterial small subunit ribosomal RNA", at positions 43 to 455 of the family's 1533-position model. The record is from RNAcentral. Lineage: Bacteria; Bacillati; Actinomycetota; Actinomycetes; Micrococcales; Micrococcaceae.
AGAGUUUGAUCCUGGCUCAGUCGAACGAUGAUCCCAGCUUGCUGGGGGAUUAGUGGCGAACGGGUGAGUAACACGUGAGUAACCUGCCCUUAACUCUGGGAUAAGCCUGGGAAACUGGGUCUAAUACCGGAUAUGACUCCUCAUCGCAUGGUGGGGGGUGGAAAGCUUUUUGUGGUUUUGGAUGGACUCGCGGCCUAUCAGCUUGUUGGUGAGGUAAUGGCUUACCAAGGCGACGACGGGUAGCCGGCCUGAGAGGGUGACCGGCCACACUGGGACUGAGACACGGCCCAGACUCCUACGGGAGGCAGCAGUGGGGAAUAUUGCACAAUGGGCGCAAGCCUGAUGCAGCGACGCCGCGUGAGGGAUGACGGCCUUCGGGUUGUAAACCUCUUUCAGUAGGGAAGAAGCGAAA